GAUGAACGCUGGCGGCGUGCUUAACACAUGCAAGUCGAACGAUGAAGCUUGGUGCUUGCACUGGGUGGAUUAGUGGCGAACGGGUGAGUAUCACGUGAGUAACCUGCCCUUGACUCUGGGAUAAGCCUGGGAAACUGGGCCUAAUACCGGAUAUGACUGAUCAUCGCAUGGUGGUUGGUGGAAAGAUUUUAUCGGUUUUGGAUGGACUCGCGGCCUAUCAGCUUGACGGUGGGGUAAUUGCUCACCGUGGCUUUGACGGGUAGCCGGCCUGAGAGGGUGACCGGCCACACUGGGACUGAGACACGGCCCAGACUCCUACGGGAGGCAGCAGUGGGGAAUAUUGCACAAUGGGCGCAAGCCUGAUGCAGCGACGCCGCGUGCGGGAUGACGGCCUUCGGGUUGUAAACCGCUUUCAGCAGGGAAGAAGCUUUUUGUGACGGUACCUGCAGAAGAAGCGCCGGCUAACUACGUGCCAGCAGCCGCCGUAA
This 488-nucleotide ribosomal RNA is filed under the name uncultured bacterium. Its description in RNAcentral is "partial 16S ribosomal RNA". It matches the Rfam family "Bacterial small subunit ribosomal RNA", at positions 28 to 523 of the family's 1533-position model. The record is from RNAcentral.